This 429-nucleotide ribosomal RNA is filed under the name uncultured bacterium. Its description in RNAcentral is "bacterial SSU rRNA". It matches the Rfam family "Bacterial small subunit ribosomal RNA", at positions 355 to 776 of the family's 1533-position model. The record is from RNAcentral. RNAcentral also lists the same sequence under 1 other name.
UGGGGAAUUUUGGACAAUGGGGGGAACCCUGAUCCAGCAACGCCGCGUGAAUGAAGAAGGCCUUAGGGUUGUAAAGUUCUUUUGUCAGGGAAGAAAAGGCUUGUGCUAAUAUCAUAAGCUGCUGACGGUACCUGAAGAAUAAGCACCGGCUAACUACGUGCCAGCAGCCGCGGUAAUACGUAGGGUGCGAGCGUUAAUCGGAAUUACUGGGCGUAAAGCGUGCGCAGGCGGAUAUGUAAGUUAGAAGUGAAAUCCCCGGGCUCAACCUGGGAAUGGCUUUUAAGACUGCGUAUCUAGAGUUUGUCAGAGGGGGGUGGAAUUCCAAGUGUAGCAGUGAAAUGCGUAGAGAUUUGGAGGAACACCAAUGGCGAAGGCAACCCCCUGGGAUAAAACUGACGCUCAUGCACGAAAGCGUGGGUAGCAAACAGG